This is a long non-coding RNA of Hemicordylus capensis (graceful crag lizard), 1103 nucleotides long. RefSeq lists it as uncharacterized. The record is from RefSeq and is a predicted model, not a curated record. The transcript has 3 exons. Lineage: Eukaryota; Metazoa; Chordata; Lepidosauria; Squamata; Cordylidae.
AGAGAUUCAGGAGGACAGAGCAGUCAUGGCCUGGGCAGCUCAGCUCUGAACUCGGCCCUUUGAAGAUUCUGAACUGGAUGGAAGGAGCAGGAAGAAAGUUCCAAAAUGGCCACCAUGCCAGAGGGGGAAGGCCCGAAUGGGCCAAAGGUAUGGGCAUCAAGGGAGGCUGGCAGGAGGAAAAAAACUUCCGUGGACACCCCUCCACACACACCACCUACAACAACUCCCCUGGAGGAGACUUUUCUUUGCUGAAGGAGUUCAACUUACACAGAGAAACAACCACGAUCAAGCUUACAAACAGGACCACGCAAACCACAGCCAUGAUGUUAGUAACGAAGCGCCUAUCAAGGAAACUUGUUUUAGGUCCCCGAGGCCCUGGAAGCAGAAGAGGACAGAAAACUUGGCUUUAGCCAUCCGUUGCCAGCAUCCCAUGAGAGCCCCAGAGAAAAGCUUUCCACACACACUCUGGCCACCUCUCUGGGUCAGCAGUAGCCAGCGGCCUGCCGGGGAUCUGGACUCUGCCGACUGCUCUAGAGUUGGGUCCCUGCUAGCCUCAGAUUGGGUGAAAUCAGCACUGCCAGAUGGGGAAGGCACAAACCUGCCACACGCCCUGCCUGGCCUCCAAAGGACAGGGAUGUAUCCUUUUACAGGGCCGUUGCCGGGCCCAGAAUACCAUUUGUGCCAGGAUGGGACAGACCACCGUUUGAUCCCUGUGGCAUUCAACAAGCCAUGUUUCGAUGUGCUCAAGCCGGUGGCAGAGGGGAGAAGACUUGGACUCUGGCCUCCUUAGGAGCUGAGUCGACAAAGCCAUUGCUCCUCUUUGGGGCGCCUCUGCUGAGCCCAAGGGGUUCUUCUACAGGAGUUCAGUUUGCUUUGCUCCACCCUCCCCACCAUGAUUCAUUCCAGUCUGGCACAGGACUUCCUUUGGCAGCUACAGAAGCCUGCAGCCAAUGAAGGAAGUUGGCUAGGGAAGAAGGUAGUGUUGGGUGAGCAUGAGGCUGCCCAGUAGGGUUGCGUGUUUUGUAUUUUUUCUGUUUUGAUUUGUACCAAAUCCGAAUCAACCCCAUUUUGUAUUUUGUCCAAAAUUAAGCCUUCCGAAUCAC